AUACGAAGGGGGCUAGCGUUGUUCGGAAUUACUGGGCGUAAAGCGCGCGUAGGCGGAUUGGUCAGUUAGGGGUGAAAUCCCAGGGCUUAACCCUGGAACUGCCUCUAAUACUGCCAGUCUUGAGUUCGGGAGAGGUGAGUGGAAUUCCUAGUGUAGAGGUGAAAUUCGUAGAUAUUAGGAAGAACACCAGUGGCGAAGGCGGCUCACUGGCCCGAUACUGACGCUGAGGCGCGAAAGCGUGGGUAGCAAACGGGAUUAGAAACCCUAGUAGUCC
RNAcentral lists this ribosomal RNA (274 nucleotides) under uncultured bacterium. Its description in RNAcentral is "partial 16S ribosomal RNA". It matches the Rfam family "Bacterial small subunit ribosomal RNA", at positions 523 to 796 of the family's 1533-position model. The record is from RNAcentral.